Molecule: ribosomal RNA, 814 nt
Filed under: Platymantis sp. 5 CDS-2015
Lineage: Eukaryota; Metazoa; Chordata; Amphibia; Anura; Ceratobatrachidae
Description: partial 16S ribosomal RNA
Rfam family: Bacterial large subunit ribosomal RNA
Source: RNAcentral
CACCUAACUAAUUUUUUAUAUAUACAUCAACCCUUCCCCCCCAUUGAAUGAAUUUAUAAAUCUAUAAAAGCCACUAUGCCUAAACUAGUAAUAAGAAUAUGAAAUUCUCCUUAAUGUAAGCCUAAGCCGUAAUAGACACGCCAACGGCAAUUAAAGUUAAUAAACCCACUGUAAUAACCACCUUAAUAAAACUUAUAGCAAUAAACGUUAACCUAACACAAGAACAUUCAAGGAAAGAUUAAAAGGGGAAGAAGGAACUCGGCAAAUUUUAAUCCCGCCUGUUUACCAAAAACAUCGCCUCUUGAUAAACUAUAAGAGGUCCAGCCUGCCCAAUGACUUCUUAAAUGGCCGCGGUAUCCUAACCGUGCUAAGGUAGCACAAUAACUUGUUCUUUAAAUGAGGACUUGUAUGAAUGGCAUCACGAGGAUUACACUGUCUCCUCCCCCCAAUCAGUGAAACUGACCUCCCUGUGAAAAGGCAGGGAUUAUACUAUAAGACGAGAAGACCCCAUGGAGCUUUAGACUUAAAGCACAUCUAACCCUCACUCCAUUAAAACCUUAGGUUCCUGACUUCUAGUCUUAGGUUGGGGCGACCGUGGAGUAUAACCUAACCUCCAUGCUGAACGGACAAAUCCUAAUCUAAGAGUUACAACUCCAAGAAUCAAAAAACUGACAGCUACUGAUCCAAAAUUUGAUCAACGAACCAAGUUACCCUGGGGAUAACAGCGCUAUCUACCUCAAGAGUUCAUAUCGACAGGUGGGUUUACGACCUCGAUGUUGGAUCGGGGUAUCCCUGUGGUGCAGCCGCUACAUAA